This 72-nucleotide transfer RNA is filed under the name Legionella pneumophila 2300/99 Alcoy. RNAcentral describes it as "tRNA-Gln". It matches the Rfam family "tRNA". From Rfam's summary of the family: Transfer RNA (tRNA) molecules are approximately 80 nucleotides in length. Their secondary structure includes four short double-helical elements and three loops (D, anti-codon, and T loops). Lineage: Bacteria; Pseudomonadati; Pseudomonadota; Gammaproteobacteria; Legionellales; Legionellaceae. The record is from RNAcentral.
AUAGGGGUGUCGCCAAGCGGUAAGGCACAGGGUUUUGAUCCCUGCAUACCUAGGUUCGAAUCCUAGCACCCC